AAAUGUAUAACUUUCUCCGACUUUCUAGGACGUGUUUAACUGUUAUGCCACUUCUUUUUCCGUCUCAUUUUGUCCACCAGACUUUUAACGUUGUGCAUGGAUGCACAAAGGACAUCUGGAAUCUGUCCAUAGGGGGGGGGAUACUGUUACGGCUCAGACCCCUGACAUCUGCGCGUACCUUGGGACACGCCCACGGCCGCGCAAAUCCAGGGACGCGCCGUGCACGUCUCCGCCCUGCAGCAGCCGCCAGCUGCAAACACUCACCGGCUAUCGGCACACCUGAGACUGAUGAGGGCGUGCCGGAUAAAGGCAGGGUGGACCCAAGGAUCGGCGCGGGAACUUAGUUUUCUCAUGGUGUACCUACCCUCCGUCGCCUGGACUGUGAGCGUCUCACUAUUCCCUGGAUCUUCCCCUGUGUUUUGGACUGGCUUCCUCGUUUCCCGACUUCUCGCUCGCCCCCCCGGACUCUGACGUCUCUCUCUCUGCCCCACGGACCCCUCGCGCAUCUUGGACCCCUUCUGCCUUGCCCAAUUUGGACUUGUCUACUUCCUCAUCCAACAUCACGGUAAUACACAACAGCU
Molecule: long non-coding RNA, 581 nt
Organism: Entelurus aequoreus (snake pipefish)
Lineage: Eukaryota; Metazoa; Chordata; Actinopteri; Syngnathiformes; Syngnathidae
Exons: 3
Source: RefSeq, a predicted model, not a curated record